GAUGAACGCUGGCGGCGUGCCUAAUACAUGCAAGUCGAGCGAACAGACGAGGAGCUUGCUCCUCUGACGUUAGCGGCGGACGGGUGAGUAACACGUGGAUAACCUACCUAUAAGACUGGGAUAACUUCGGGAAACCGGAGCUAAUACCGGAUAAUAUAUUGAACCGCAUGGUUCAAUAGUGAAAGACGGUUUUGCUGUCACUUAUAGAUGGAUCCGCGCCGCAUUAGCUAGUUGGUAAGGUAACGGCUUACCAAGGCAACGAUGCGUAGCCGACCUGAGAGGGUGAUCGGCCACACUGGAACUGAGACACGGUCCAGACUCCUACGGGAGGCAGCAGUAGGGAAUCUUCCGCAAUGGGCGAAAGCCUGACGGAGCCACGCCGCGUGAGUGAUGAAGGUCUUCGGAUCGUAAAACUCUUUUAUUAGGGAAGAACAAAUGUGUAAGUAACUAUGCACGUCUUGACGGUACCUAAUCAGAAAGCCACGGCUAACUACGUG
RNAcentral lists this ribosomal RNA (497 nucleotides) under uncultured bacterium. RNAcentral describes it as "partial 16S ribosomal RNA". It matches the Rfam family "Bacterial small subunit ribosomal RNA", at positions 28 to 507 of the family's 1533-position model. The record is from RNAcentral.